RNAcentral lists this ribosomal RNA (468 nucleotides) under uncultured bacterium. Its description in RNAcentral is "partial 16S ribosomal RNA". It matches the Rfam family "Bacterial small subunit ribosomal RNA", at positions 28 to 507 of the family's 1533-position model. The record is from RNAcentral.
GACGAACGCUGGCGGCGUGCUUAACACAUGCAAGUCGAACGGAAAGGCCCUGCUUUUGUGGGGUGCUCGAGUGGCGAACGGGUGAGUAACACGUGAGUAACCUGCCCUUGACUUUGGGAUAACUUCAGGAAACUGGGGCUAAUACCGGAUAGGAGCUCCUGCUGCAUGGUGGGGGUUGGAAAGUUUCGGCGGUUGGGGAUGGACUCGCGGCUUAUCAGCUUGUUGGUGGGGUAGUUGCUUACCAAGGGUUUGACGGGUAGCCGGCCUGAGAGGGUUACCGGCGACAAUGGGACUGAGAGACGGCCCAGACGCCUACGGGAGGCAGCAGUGGGGAAUAUUGCACAAUGGGCGGAAGCCUGAUGCAGAAACGCAGCGUGCGGGAUGACGGCCUUCGGGUUGUAAACCGCUUUCGCAUGUGACGAAGCGUGAGUGACGGUAAUGGGUAAAGAAGCACCGGCUAACUACGUG